UAUGGCCACAUCAUGUUGAAACACCAGUUUGUAUAUGGUCACUGAAAUUAAGCAACAUCAAGCCUGCUCAGUACCUAGAUGGGUGACCACUUGGGAAUACCAGGUGCUGUAA
Molecule: non-coding RNA, 112 nt
Organism: Acanthosepion pharaonis
Lineage: Eukaryota; Metazoa; Mollusca; Cephalopoda; Sepiida; Sepiidae
Source: the annotation of a GenBank genome assembly